Molecule: ribosomal RNA, 170 nt
Filed under: Synchirus gilli (manacled sculpin)
Lineage: Eukaryota; Metazoa; Chordata; Actinopteri; Perciformes; Cottidae
Description: partial small subunit ribosomal RNA
Source: RNAcentral
ACUCGUGCCUAUACGAGAGGCCCAAGUUGAUAGGCAUCGGCGUAAAACGUGGUUAAGAUGUACAACACUACUAAAGCCGAACACCUUCAAAGCCGUCAUAAGCUCACGGAGGCCGGAAGCCCCACCACGAAAGUGGCUUUAUCUAAUUUGACCCCACGAAAGCUAGGACA